RNAcentral lists this ribosomal RNA (465 nucleotides) under uncultured bacterium. Its description in RNAcentral is "partial 16S ribosomal RNA". It matches the Rfam family "Bacterial small subunit ribosomal RNA", at positions 28 to 507 of the family's 1533-position model. The record is from RNAcentral.
GAUGAACGCUGGCGGCGUGCUUAACACAUGCAAGUCGAACGGAAAGGCUCCUGCUUACAGGGGUACUCGAGUGGCGAACGGGUGAGUAACACGUGGGUGAUCUGCCCUGCACUUCGGGAUAAGCCUGGGAAACUGGGUCUAAUACCGGAUAGGACGAUGGUUUGGAUGCCAUUGUGGAAAGUUUUUCGGUGUGGGAUGAGCUCGCGGCCUAUCAGCUUGUUGGUGGGGUAAUGGCCUACCAAGGCGUCGACGGGUAGCCGGCCUGAGAGGGUGUACGGCCACAUUGGGACUGAGAUACGGCCCAGACUCCUACGGGAGGCAGCAGUGGGGAAUAUUGCACAAUGGGCGCAAGCCUGAUGCAGCGACGCCGCGUGGGGGAUGACGGCCUUCGGGUUGUAAACUCCUUUCGCUAGGGACGAAGCGCAAGUGACGGUACCUGGAGAAGAAGCACCGGCUAACUACGUG